CCUACGGGUGGCAGCAGUGGGGAAUAUUGCACAAUGGGGGAAACCCUGAUGCAGCGACGCCGCGUGAGUGAAGAAGUAAUUCGUUAUGUAAAGCUCUAUCAGCAGGGAAGAAAAUGACGGUACCUGGGUAAGAAGCCCCGGCUAACUACGUGCCAGCAGCCGCGGUAAUACGUAGGGGGCAAGCAUUCUCCGGAUUUACUCGGUGUAAGGGGAGCGUAGACGGCAGUGCAAGUCUGGAGUGAAAGGCGGGGGCUCAACCCCCGGACUGCUCUUGAAACUGGACGGCUGGAGUGCAGGAGAGGUAAGUGGAAUUCCAAGUGUAGCGGUGAAAUGCGUAGAGAUUAGGAGGAACACCAGUGGCGAAGGCGGCUUACUGGAAAGGAACUGACGUUGAGGCUCGAAAGCGUGGGGAGCAAACAGGAUUAGAUACCCUAGCAGUC
This 440-nucleotide ribosomal RNA is filed under the name uncultured bacterium. RNAcentral describes it as "partial 16S ribosomal RNA". It matches the Rfam family "Bacterial small subunit ribosomal RNA", at positions 338 to 795 of the family's 1533-position model. The record is from RNAcentral.